UGGGGAAUAUUGGACAAUGGGCGAAAGCCUGAUCCAGCCAUGCCGCGUGUGUGAAGAAGGUCUUCGGAUUGUAAAGCACUUUAAGUUGGGAGGAAGGGCAUUAACCUAAUACGUUAGUGUUUUGACGUUACCGACAGAAUAAGCACCGGCUAACUCUGUGCCAGCAGCCGCGGUAAUACAGAGGGUGCAAGCGUUAAUCGGAAUUACUGGGCGUAAAGCGCGCGUAGGUGGUUUGUUAAGUUGGAUGUGAAAUCCCCGGGCUCAACCUGGGAACUGCAUUCAAAACUGACUGACUAGAGUAUGGUAGAGGGUGGUGGAAUUUCCUGUGUAGCGGUGAAAUGCGUAGAUAUAGGAAGGAACACCAGUUGCGAAGGCGACCACCUGGACUAAUACUGACACUGAGGUGCGAAAGCGUGGGGAGCAAACA
RNAcentral lists this ribosomal RNA (427 nucleotides) under uncultured bacterium. RNAcentral's name for it is "partial 16S ribosomal RNA". It matches the Rfam family "Bacterial small subunit ribosomal RNA", at positions 355 to 774 of the family's 1533-position model. The record is from RNAcentral.